This 272-nucleotide ribosomal RNA is filed under the name uncultured bacterium. Its description in RNAcentral is "partial small subunit ribosomal RNA". It matches the Rfam family "Bacterial small subunit ribosomal RNA", at positions 26 to 285 of the family's 1533-position model. The record is from RNAcentral.
AGAAUCAACGCUGGCGGCGUGCCUAACACAUGCAAGUCGAACGCGAAAGCCCCGCGAGGGGUAAGUAGAGUGGCAAACGGGUGAGUAACACGUGGGUGACCUGCCUUCGAGUGGGGGAUAACGUCCCGAAAGGGACGCUAAUACCGCAUGAUAUCCUGCCUUUGGAAAGGUGGAGAUCAAAGCUGGGGAUCGCAAGACCUGGCGCUUGAAGAGGGGCCCGCGCCUGAUUAGCUAGUUGGUGGGGUAACGGCUCACCAAGGCUACGAUCAGUA